UACGAAGGGGGCGAGCGUUGUUCGGAUUUACUGGGCGUAAAGGGCGCGCAGGCGGUUCUGUUUGUCGAGUGUGAAAGCCCCGGGCUCAACCUGGGAACUGCGCUCGAAACGGCAGAACUAGAGUUCGGGAGAGGAGAGUGGAAUUCCCAGUGUAGAGGUGAAAUUCGUAGAUAUUGGGAAGAACACCGGUGGCGAAGGCGGCUCUCUGGACCGAUACUGACGCUGAGGCGCGAAAGCGUGGGGAGCAAACAGG
This 253-nucleotide ribosomal RNA is filed under the name uncultured bacterium. RNAcentral describes it as "partial 16S ribosomal RNA". It matches the Rfam family "Bacterial small subunit ribosomal RNA", at positions 524 to 776 of the family's 1533-position model. The record is from RNAcentral.